UCUUGUUGCAAUAGUAAUCCUGCUCAGUACAAGAGGAACUGCAGAUUCAGAUCCCUGGUGCUUGCACUUGGCUGAGGAGCUGCUGGCAUGAGGUUACCAUCUGUGGGCUUAUGACUGUAUGCCUCUAAGCUAGAAUCUCACCUGGACAUAGCAAUUUGGCAGUGUGGGGGGUGCCUUGGCAGGCUCACAAUAGCUGCCCAGUACAGAUUGCUGCUCGGGGUCAGGACCAGAGGGGUGCACAGAUGUGGGGGCACCUCUCUCCUAUUGUGUAAUCGUGGGGCACCCAGUACUAAAUCAUUCAUAGACAUUCUGAGCCUGGGUCAGGUUUUCAUAUGUGGCAGAGCAACUCUCUCUCUGAUGUACUGAGGAUCAGACCUUGGCAGAAGCUCC
This 390-nucleotide non-coding RNA is filed under the name Colius striatus (speckled mousebird). Its description in RNAcentral is "Eukaryotic large subunit ribosomal RNA". It matches the Rfam family "Eukaryotic large subunit ribosomal RNA", at positions 3004 to 3401 of the family's 3401-position model. Lineage: Eukaryota; Metazoa; Chordata; Aves; Coliiformes; Coliidae. The record is from Rfam by way of RNAcentral.